GCACUGCUGAGGAGUCACACUGGGACGAAACGGCCGUCCAGUGC
This 44-nucleotide non-coding RNA is filed under the name Schistosoma margrebowiei. The record is from RNAcentral. Lineage: Eukaryota; Metazoa; Platyhelminthes; Trematoda; Strigeidida; Schistosomatidae.